UUUGAAUUUUGCUUGUUAUCGUUAUUCAAAAGAAACUGUUACAGUAAAUAAUAUGAUUUGUUUGCCAAAUUACUGUUUACAAAAAGGCACAAUUUCAAACUAUUUCAGUCGAAGUGUUUGGGUUAACCCUUGUAGGAGUUUUUUCCCCUUAUGUAUUUGAAAUCAGUAUUUCUCCACAACCAUACAAAUGAUUGACCUGGGGUCUUUUGAUUUGAGAUCACUGACCUCUGACCUUGAAAUUGAGGUCAAGGUCAAAGGUCA
This 261-nucleotide long non-coding RNA is filed under the name Mytilus galloprovincialis (Mediterranean mussel). The record is from RNAcentral. Lineage: Eukaryota; Metazoa; Mollusca; Bivalvia; Mytilida; Mytilidae.